RNAcentral lists this ribosomal RNA (497 nucleotides) under uncultured bacterium. RNAcentral's name for it is "partial 16S ribosomal RNA". It matches the Rfam family "Bacterial small subunit ribosomal RNA", at positions 28 to 507 of the family's 1533-position model. The record is from RNAcentral.
GAUGAACGCUGGCGGCGUGCCUAAUACAUGCAAGUCGAGCGAACAGACGAGGAGCUUGCUCCUCUGACGUUAGCGGCGGACGGGUGAGUAACACGUGGAUAACCUACCUAUAAGACUGGGAUAACUUCGGGAAACCGGAGCUAAUACCGGAUAAUAUGUUGAAUCGCAUGGUUCAACAGUGAAAGACGGUCUUGCUGUCACUUAUAGAUGGAUCCGCGCCGCAUUAGCUAGUUGGUAAGGUAACGGCUUACCACGGCAACGAUGCGUAGCCGACCUGAGAGGGUGAUCGGCCACACUGGAACUGAGACACGGUCCAGACUCCUACGGGAGGCAGCAGUAGGGAAUCUUCCGCAAUGGGCGAAAGCCUGACGGAGCAACGCCGCGUGAGUGAAGAAGGUCUUCGGAUCGUAAAACUCUGUUAUUAGGGAAGAACAAAUGUGUAAGUAACUAUGCACGUCUUGACGGUACCUAAUCAGAAAGCCACGGCUAACUACGUG